AAAAGUUCAAACUCUGCAAAGAUCAAAAGAUAUGUGUGCCUAGAUGAAACAAUUCCGGGAAGAAAUCAUGCCCAAUAAAGCUUCCGUGCUCCAGAAGAGAGAGAGUUCUCUAGCAGGAGUAAGUGAAGUUGAGAAAACCAAAGCUCCGAGACCUGCAACAAUCCACUCAUGGGCAGCAGGAGACAGAUCUACCCACUGACGCCAGUCUCCCUUCCUACAGAAAAGUGGUGCUUUUCUCUUACUGGCUGCAA
RNAcentral lists this long non-coding RNA (251 nucleotides) under Fukomys damarensis (Damara mole-rat). Its description in RNAcentral is "lncRNA (ENSFDAG00000023789.1)". The record is from RNAcentral. Lineage: Eukaryota; Metazoa; Chordata; Mammalia; Rodentia; Bathyergidae.